GGGGUUGUAGUGUAGUGGCUAUCACGCGUCAUUUGCAAUGGCACCCGUGCGUGUUCAAUGAAACUUGACGAGGUCCCGGGUUCAAUCCCCGGCGACUCCA
This 100-nucleotide transfer RNA is filed under the name Puccinia triticina 1-1 BBBD Race 1. RNAcentral's name for it is "Puccinia triticina tRNA PTTG_20537". It matches the Rfam family "tRNA". From Rfam's summary of the family: Transfer RNA (tRNA) molecules are approximately 80 nucleotides in length. Their secondary structure includes four short double-helical elements and three loops (D, anti-codon, and T loops). Further hydrogen bonds mediate the characteristic L-shaped molecular structure. tRNAs have two regions of fundamental functional importance: the anti-codon, which is responsible for specific mRNA codon recognition, and the 3' end, to which the tRNAs corresponding amino acid is attached (by aminoacyl-tRNA synthetases). tRNAs cope with the degeneracy of the genetic code in two manners: having more than one tRNA (with a specific anti-codon) for a particular amino acid; and 'wobble' base-pairing, i.e. permitting non-standard base-pairing at the 3rd anti-codon position. The record is from Rfam by way of RNAcentral. Lineage: Eukaryota; Fungi; Basidiomycota; Pucciniomycetes; Pucciniales; Pucciniaceae.